AGCUAAGCCCCCAGCCAAGCUGCUUUCCUUGUUUCUUUUUCAACUAAUGCUAAGAGUCAGAGAAAACCCCUUCCUCACUAUGAGCAAGCAGGCAGUCUGCUGGGUAGCCCUUUGCCUCCUUGCAGCAGAAACCACCCAUGGUGCCAUCACUCAGACACCCAGGUUCCUGAUCGGACGGCAAGGGCAGAGUCUGACCUUGGGAUGUCAACAGGAUUUCAAUCAUGACACCAUGUACUGGUACCGACAGGAUCCAGGCACAGGACCGAGAUUGAUCUACUAUUCAAUAACUGAAAAAGAUGUCCAGAAAGGGGACCUCUCUGAAGGCUACAGUGUCUCUCGAGAGAAGAAACUACUGUUCCCUCUCACUGUGACAUCUGCCCAGAAGAACCAUAUGGCUGUCUACCUCUGUGCCAGCAGCAUAGCACAGUGA
Molecule: non-coding RNA, 430 nt
Organism: Phodopus roborovskii (desert hamster)
Lineage: Eukaryota; Metazoa; Chordata; Mammalia; Rodentia; Cricetidae
Source: the annotation of a RefSeq genome assembly